UUCCUCAUAGCAAGGCGCCUCCAAUCACUCCCAUCCCCCACCCCAUCCGGGCGGGUGCCUUCAGCCGGGCGCGAGUGUUUGCUGCGAUAAGGAGAGUGACAUCCAUUAAACCCGAGGCACAACAGAGCGCCAGCGGGGAGAAGAACUAGCCCGACGUCAAUGAGAGAGCGUGUCACAGAUGGAGUUCCUGCAACAGACAGUAGUAAAUCGGGGCGAAAGCUAAACCCUAAUAAAAAUGCCUGGCAGAGGUGUUCAUUGCUGACAGGUCUCCUGCCCUGGAGAAAAGAGAGGGCUGCUCUCUCCUACCGCCCUGUCAAACCUUCUGGACUCUUCCUG
Molecule: long non-coding RNA, 336 nt
Organism: Orcinus orca (killer whale)
Lineage: Eukaryota; Metazoa; Chordata; Mammalia; Artiodactyla; Delphinidae
Exons: 2
Source: RefSeq, a predicted model, not a curated record